This 359-nucleotide ribosomal RNA is filed under the name uncultured Sphingopyxis sp. RNAcentral's name for it is "bacterial SSU rRNA". It matches the Rfam family "Bacterial small subunit ribosomal RNA", at positions 336 to 710 of the family's 1533-position model. The record is from RNAcentral. Lineage: Bacteria; Pseudomonadati; Pseudomonadota; Alphaproteobacteria; Sphingomonadales; Sphingopyxidaceae.
UUCCUACGGGAGGCUUGCAGUGGGGAAUAUUGGACAAUGGGCGAAAGCCUGAUCCAGCAAUGCCGCGUGAGUGAAGAAGGCCUUAGGGUUGUAAAGCUCUUUUACCCGGGAUGAUAAUGACAGUACCGGGAGAAUAAGCUCCGGCUAACUCCGUGCCAGCAGCCGCGGUAAUACGGAGGGAGCUAGCGUUGUUCGGAAUUACUGGGCGUAAAGCGCACGUAGGCGGCUACUCAAGUCAGAGGUGAAAGCCCGGGGCUCAACCCCGGAACUGCCUUUGAAACUAGGUAGCUAGAAUCUUGGAGAGGUCAGUGGAAUUCCGAGUGUAGAGGUGAAAUUCGUAGAUAUUCGUGAAGAACACC